UACGUAGGGGGCAAGCGUUGUCCGGAAUCAUUGGGCGUAAAGCGCGCGUAGGCGGCUCUGUACGUCUGCUGUGAAAGUCAAAGGCUCAACCUUUGAAAGCCGGUGGAUACUGCAGGGCUAGAGUCCGGAAGAGGCGAGUGGAAUUCCUGGUGUAGCGGUGGAAUGCGCAGAUAUCAGGAGGAACACCAAUAGCGAAGGCAGCUCGCUGGGACGGUACUGACGCUAAGGCGCGAAAGCGUGGGGAGCGAACAGG
Molecule: ribosomal RNA, 253 nt
Filed under: uncultured bacterium
Lineage: Bacteria
Description: partial 16S ribosomal RNA
Rfam family: Bacterial small subunit ribosomal RNA
Source: RNAcentral